Non-coding RNA from Chelonoidis abingdonii (Abingdon island giant tortoise), 743 nucleotides. NCBI's taxonomy places the organism in Eukaryota, Metazoa, Chordata, Testudines, Testudinidae. The record is from RefSeq and is a predicted model, not a curated record.
AGAGCUGCCCCUGGAGAGGGAGUGUCCCUGUGCUUCUCUCAAAGGGGAUGGAAGAGGUGUACAACUCUGUGGCACAGUUAGAGUGGCACCCUCCUCUUGGCAAGGCCCAGUGGUGCAGCUGGUGCACUCCAGGGAGAUGUAGCUCCUGCAGGUUGUCUACUGGGGGUUAAUUCUCUCCCUGUAAACCCCACCCUUGCUUGCUGUACGUGUGGGCUGCUGUAAAAUCACAGCUGCCGGAGCAGUCUCAGGCUGCCCCUUCCUCCCUGGGUGACAGGCUGGGCCAGGACCCAACUCAGAUGGCUGGGCCUUUAGGAACAGAGCCAGCUUGUGGGAGGGUACUGGCAGCUGCUGGACCUUGCUAGGCUCAGGCCUUCCCUGUUGUUCUACCUCACAGUCAUGGGCUAAUUGAUCUAAUGGUUGCCUGGUGUGCAAAGGAGGGGGGAGAGUGGGGAAGAGUCCACCCUUCCCCUACUGCUAAAGCUCCUGCCCCUCCUAUUGAGGGUGGUGGUGAUUACCUACCCUUCCAUUUCUGGGUUAGUUACACUCUACAUCCUACCAUGCAGCUGGCCCAGCUCCCCAACUAGGCCCCAUAUGCUGCACUUUCAGAACCUGCCUCUGCUCAGCAUGUGCUUCCCACCAUUUGCUUCAGAGCUGCGGGUAUAGCAGGGCUAUAAGCAUGUCUCCUGCUUCCAGUACCUGCCCUUGGCUUGCCGGGAUGGAUAUGGGGGAGCAGUGUCAUUUCU